RNAcentral lists this ribosomal RNA (201 nucleotides) under uncultured prokaryote. RNAcentral describes it as "partial 16S ribosomal RNA". It matches the Rfam family "Bacterial small subunit ribosomal RNA", at positions 524 to 724 of the family's 1533-position model. The record is from RNAcentral.
UACGAAGGGGGCUAGCGUUGUUCGGAUUUACUGGGCGUAAAGCGCACGUAGGCGGGUCGUUAAGUCAGGGGUGAAAUCCCGGAGCUCAACUCCGGAACUGCCUUUGAUACUGGCGAGCUUGAGUCCGGGAGAGGUGAGUGGAACUGCGAGUGUAGAGGUGAAAUUCGUAGAUAUUCGCAAGAACUCCAGUGGCGAAGGCGG